This 460-nucleotide ribosomal RNA is filed under the name uncultured bacterium. RNAcentral describes it as "partial 16S ribosomal RNA". It matches the Rfam family "Bacterial small subunit ribosomal RNA", at positions 338 to 795 of the family's 1533-position model. The record is from RNAcentral.
CCUACGGGUGGCAGCAGUGAGGAAUCUUGGUCAAUGGACGAGAGUCUGAACCAGCCAAGUAGCGUGAAGGAUGACUGCCCUAUGGGUUGUAAACUUCUUUUAUAUGGGAAUAAAAUGUUCCACGUGUGGGAUUUUGUAUGUACCAUAUGCAUACGGAUCGGCUAAAUCGGUUGCAGCAGCCGCGGUCAUACGGAGGAUCCGAGCGUUAUCCGGAUUUGUUGGGGUUAAAGGGAGCGUAGGUGGAUUGUUAAGGCAGUUGGGAAAGUUUGGGGCUCAACCGUAAAAUUGCAGUUGAAACUGGCAGUCUUGAGUACAGUAGAGGUGGGCGGAAUUCGAGGUGUAGCGGUGAAAUGCUUAGAUAUCACGAAGAACUCCGAUUGCGAAGGCAGUUCACUGGACUGCAACUGACACUGAGGCUCGAAAGUGUGGGUAUCAAACAGGAUUAGAUACCCUUGUAGUC